UACGUAGGGGGCAAGCGUUAAUCGGAAUUACUGGGCGUAAAGCGUGCGUAGUCGGCCAUUUAAGUCGGGUGUGAAAUCCCCGGGCUCAACCUGGGAAUUGCAUUCGAUACUGGAUGGCUAGAGUUCGGCAGAGGGAAGCGGAAUUUCCGGUGUAGCGGUGAAAUGCGUAGAUAUCGGAAGGAACAUCAGUGGCGAAAGCGGCUUCCUGGACCAGAACUGACGAUCAGGCACGAAAGCGUGGGGAGCAAACAGG
This 253-nucleotide ribosomal RNA is filed under the name uncultured bacterium. RNAcentral's name for it is "partial 16S ribosomal RNA". It matches the Rfam family "Bacterial small subunit ribosomal RNA", at positions 524 to 776 of the family's 1533-position model. The record is from RNAcentral.